RNAcentral lists this small RNA (125 nucleotides) under Marmota monax (woodchuck). The record is from RNAcentral. Lineage: Eukaryota; Metazoa; Chordata; Mammalia; Rodentia; Sciuridae.
GCUGGGUGUGGUGGUGCACCCCUGUAAUCCCAGCGGCUUGGGAGGCUGAGGUAGGAGGAUCACAAGUUCAAAGCCAUCCCCAGCAACUGUGGGGUGCUAAGCAACUCAGUGAGACCCUGUCUCUA